Molecule: transfer RNA, 76 nt
Filed under: Betaproteobacteria bacterium
Lineage: Bacteria; Pseudomonadati; Pseudomonadota; Betaproteobacteria
Also listed under: 1 other name
Description: tRNA-Lys
Rfam family: tRNA
About the family: Transfer RNA (tRNA) molecules are approximately 80 nucleotides in length. Their secondary structure includes four short double-helical elements and three loops (D, anti-codon, and T loops). Further hydrogen bonds mediate the characteristic L-shaped molecular structure. tRNAs have two regions of fundamental functional importance: the anti-codon, which is responsible for specific mRNA codon recognition, and the 3' end, to which the tRNAs corresponding amino acid is attached (by aminoacyl-tRNA synthetases). tRNAs cope with the degeneracy of the genetic code in two manners: having more than one tRNA (with a specific anti-codon) for a particular amino acid; and 'wobble' base-pairing, i.e. permitting non-standard base-pairing at the 3rd anti-codon position.
Source: RNAcentral
GGGCCGUUAGCUCAGUUGGUAGAGCAGCGGACUCUUAAUCCGUUGGUCGAAGGUUCGAAUCCUUCACGGCCCACCA